Non-coding RNA from Galeopterus variegatus (Sunda flying lemur), 74 nucleotides. Lineage: Eukaryota; Metazoa; Chordata; Mammalia; Dermoptera; Cynocephalidae. The record is from the annotation of a RefSeq genome assembly.
GGCCAGUUAGCUCAGUUGGUUAGAGCGUGCUGCUGGUAACGCCGAGGUCCAGGGCUCAAUCCCCGUACUGGCCA